Molecule: ribosomal RNA, 1336 nt
Filed under: uncultured bacterium
Lineage: Bacteria
Description: bacterial SSU rRNA
Rfam family: Bacterial small subunit ribosomal RNA
Source: RNAcentral
GACGAAAGCUGGCGGCGUGCUUAACAGAUGAAAGUCGAGCGACGCUCCUCCUUCGGGAGGAUGACGGAGCGGCGAACGGGUGAGUAACACGUGGGCAACCUGCCCCUAGCUCUGGGAUAACCCCGAGAAAUCGGGACUAAUACCGGAUAUGAAGUCGGUUGGCAUCUUCCGACUUGGAAAGUUUUUCGGCUAGGGAUGGGCCCGCGGCCUAUCAGCUUGUUGGUGGGGUAACGGCCUACCAAGGCGACGACCGGUAGCCGGACUGAGAGGGCGACCGGCCACACUGGGACUGAGACACGGCCCAAACUCCUACGGGAGGCAACAGUGGGGAAUAUUGCACAAUGGGCGAAAGCCUGAUGCAGCGACGCCCCGUGAGGGAUGAAUGCCUUCGGGUUGUAAACCUCUUUCAGCAGGGACGAAGCGCAAGUGACGGUACCUGCAGAAGAAGCACCGGCCAACUACGUGCCAACAUCCGCGAUAAUACGUACGGUGCAAGCGUUGUCCGGAAUUAUUGGGCGUAAAGAGCUCGUAGGCGGCUAGUCGCGUCGGCUGUGAAAACCUGGGGCUCAACCCCGGGCCUGCAGACGAUACGGGCUAGCUAGAACUCAGUAGGGGAGACUGGAAUUCCUGGUGUAGCGGUGAAAUGCGCAGAUAUCAGGAGGAACACCGGCUGGCGAAGGCGAGUCUUUGGGCCGAUAUUGACGUUGAGGAGCGAGAGCGUGGGGAGCGAACAGGAUUAGAUACCGCGGUAGUUCACGCCGUAGCGUUGGGCGUUAGGUGUGGUGUUCUUCCACGGAUUCCGCGCCGUAGCUAACGCAUUAAGCGCCCCGCGUGGGGAGUACGGCCGCAAGGCUAAAACUCAAAGGAAUUCACGGGGGCCCGCACUAGCGGCGGAGCAUGUUGCUUAGUUCGACGCAACGUGAAGAACCUUACCAAGGCUUGACAUCGCCGGAAAUCCUCCAGAGAUGGGGGGUCCUUUUUGGGCCGGUGACAGGUGGUGCAUGGCUGUCGUCAGCUCGUGUCGUGAGAUGUUGGGUUAAGUCCCGCAACGAGCGCAACCCUCGUUCCAUGUUGCCAGCACUUCGGGUGGGGACUCAUGGGAGACCCCCGGGGUCAACUCGGAGGAAGGUGGGGAUGACGUCAAGUCAUCAUGCCCCUUAUGUCUUGGGCUGCAAACAUGCUACAAUGGCCGGUACAGAGGGCUGCGAUACCGUGAGUUGGAGCGAAUCCCUUAAAGCCGGUCUCAGUUCGGAUCGAAGUAUGCAACUUGACUUCGUGAAGUCGGAGUCGCUAGUAAUCGCAGAUCAGCAACGAUGCGGUGAAUACGUUCCCGGCC